UAUCUCUGUAGAGUCUGCAUAUCAAUAAGCGGAGGAAAAGAAACUAACAAGGAUUCCCCUAGUAACGGCGAGUGAAGCGGGAAGAGCUCAAAUUUGAAAUCUUCAAGGUUUGACCUUGACGAAUUGUAGUUUAAAGAAGUGUUUUCGGUUAGAGGAGUAGUAAAAGUUCUUUGGAAUAGGACAGUCAUAGAGGGUGAGAAUCCCGUAUUUGACUAUUCUUUCUAGCUUUGUGAUACACUUUCAAAGAGUCGGAUUGUUUGGGAAUGCAGUCCAAAAUGGGUGGUAAAUUUCAUCUAAAGCUAAAUAUUGGCGAGAGACCGAUAGCGAACAAGUACCGUGAGGGAAAGAUGAAAAGAACUUUGAAAAGAGAGUUAAACAGUACGUGAAAUUGUCAAAAGGGAAGCGUUUGACACCAGUGUUGUUUUUCCGAAAAUCAAUUAAAAAUAGAUUCAUGCCUAAGUUAGUAUUGACCUUAUCAGCUUGCAUGCUUAGGUUUUGGGUCAUCUUUUUGAUGCACUUUUCGGUUAACAAGUCAACAUCAAUUUCCUUUGCUGUAAAAAGGUAAGAGGAAGGUGGCUUCAAUUUCGGUUGAAGUGUUUAUAGCCUUUUAUCUCUGCAGUCGGGGAGAUUGAGGUCUGCAGCGUAGAUCCUUCGGGGCUAGAUACAUUUAUGCUAAGUUAUAGCUUUUCAUAGACAACUUGUUGACUAUGUUUAGUCAUGUAGCUUACUCGUAAGUGCUAUUUUACCUACGCUUAGGAUGUUGAGCGCAUGUCUCUCUCU
Molecule: ribosomal RNA, 780 nt
Filed under: uncultured Neocallimastigales
Lineage: Eukaryota; Fungi; Neocallimastigomycota; Neocallimastigomycetes; Neocallimastigales
Description: partial large subunit ribosomal RNA
Rfam family: Eukaryotic large subunit ribosomal RNA
Source: RNAcentral